This 758-nucleotide ribosomal RNA is filed under the name uncultured Prevotella sp. Its description in RNAcentral is "bacterial SSU rRNA". It matches the Rfam family "Bacterial small subunit ribosomal RNA", at positions 28 to 776 of the family's 1533-position model. Lineage: Bacteria; Pseudomonadati; Bacteroidota; Bacteroidia; Bacteroidales; Prevotellaceae. The record is from RNAcentral.
GAUGAACGCUAGCUACAGGCUUAACACAUGCAAGUCGAGGGGCAGCAUGGAAGAAGCUUGCUUCUUCUGAUGGCGACCGGCGCACGGGUGCGUAACGCGUAUCAAACCUGCCUCAUACUCGGGGAUAGCCUUGCGAAAGUAAGAUUAAUACCCGAUGUUGUUAUGUUACCGCAUGGUGAUAUAACCAAAGAUUUAUCGGUAUGAGAUGGUGAUGCGUCCGAUUAGGUAGUAGGCGGGGUAACGGCCCACCUAGCCUUCGAUCGGUAGGGGUUCUGAGAGGAAGGUCCCCCACACUGGAACUGAGACACGGUCCAGACUCCUACGGGAGGCAGCAGUGAGGAAUAUUGGUCAAUGGACGAAAGUCUGAACCAGCCAAGUAGCGUGCAGGAUGACGGCCCUCUGGGUUGUAAACUGCUUUUAGUUGGGAAUAAAAAAGAGGACGUGUCCUCUAUUGUAUGUACCUUCAGAAAAAGGACCGGCUAAUUCCGUGCCAGCAGCCGCGGUAAUACGGAAGGUCCAGGCGUUAUCCGGAUUUAUUGGGUUUAAAGGGAGCGUAGGCGGAUUAUUAAGUCAGUGGUGAAAGACGGUGGCUCAACCAUCGUUAGCCAUUGAAACUGGUAGUCUUGAGUGCAGACAGGGAUGCUGGAACUCGUGGUGUAGCGGUGAAAUGCUUAGAUAUCACGAUGAACUCCAAUCGCGAAGGCAGGUGUCCGGGCUGCAACUGACGCUGAGGCUCGAAAGUGUGGGUAUCAAACAGG